GCUGCUUGUAUGUCUUCUUUAGAAAAAAUGUCUUUUCAUGUCCUUUGCCCACUUUUUAAUGUUUUUUUUCUCUUGUUGAGCUUUUGAUUUCCUUAUAGAGUCUGGAUAUCAGUCCUUUGUUGGACACAUAGUUUGCAAAUAUUUUCUCUCAUUCUGUAGGUUUGUUUACUCUGUUGACUAUUUCUUUUUCUGUGCAGAAGGUUUUCAAUUUACUUAAGUCCCAUUUGUCUAUUUUUUAUUUCAUUGCAUUUGCUUUUGAGGUCAUAGUCAUAAGUUCUUUGCGUAGGCCAUUAUCUAGAAGAAUUUUUCCUAGGUUUUCUUCUAGGAUUUUUACCAUUUCAGAUCAUACAUUUAAGUCUUUAAUCCAUCUUUAAUUAAAAAUUUUAUAUAUGGUCAGAGACAGAGGUCCAGCUUCAUUUUUCUGCAUAUGGUGCUCCAAUUUUCCCAGCACCAUUUAUUGAAUAGAGUGUUCAUUCCCCAGUGUAUAUUUUUGUUGAUUUUGUCAAAGAUCAGUUGGUUGUAGGUAUGUGGCUUUAUUUCUGGGUUCUCUUUCUGUUCCAUUGAUCUGUGUGUCUAUUUUUGUACCAUUACCAUGCUGUUUUGGUUGCUGUAGCCCUGUAGAAUAAUUUGAAGUCAAGUAAUGUGAUGCUUCUGGCUUUGUUCCUUGUUAAUUUUUUUCUUUUUUGAGACAGGGUCUUGCUCUGCUGUCCAGGCUGGAGUGCUGUGGCAUGAUUUUGGCUCACUUCAGCUUCAACUGCACAGGCUCAAGUGAUCCUCCCACCUCAGACUCCCAAGUAGCUUGGACUACAGAGGGCCUAAUCAUGAGAUGAAGCGGAGAAAUAAUGAAGUGCUUAUGAACAUUAUGGAGACCAGAAAUUGCAGGAAAUCCAGAACAUCCAGAGGCUUGACAUUCACGGGGUGGCCCAGAAUUUAUGCUCUAAAUGCAGAGCAUCUCCAGAGACAUCCACAGUGUGGUCUCCAGAAGGACACUGUUUAAGAUCCAUUUUCCAUUAAGAGGAAAGAGGGCCUUGUAUUGGAUACCUGUUGGGUUUGGCAUCUAGUUUCCCUUUUCUACAAACUUCUUCCUUCUCUGCUCAUCCAGAUGGUCACAGGUUGGCUUCCAAGCAGCCAUGAUUAUAUUUUGUGGAGUCCUGAUUAGGGAAAACGAGUCAGACUGACAGGAUGAAGUUGAAAGUAAAGAGAUAAAGCAAAUAAGCUACAGGUUAGCCUUUCUUCAU
Molecule: long non-coding RNA, 1238 nt
Filed under: Callithrix jacchus (white-tufted-ear marmoset)
Lineage: Eukaryota; Metazoa; Chordata; Mammalia; Primates; Cebidae
Description: lncRNA (ENSCJAG00000084204.1)
Source: RNAcentral